Molecule: ribosomal RNA, 429 nt
Filed under: Actinomycetes bacterium
Lineage: Bacteria; Bacillati; Actinomycetota; Actinomycetes
Description: Actinobacteria bacterium partial 16S ribosomal RNA
Rfam family: Bacterial small subunit ribosomal RNA
Source: RNAcentral
UAGGGAAUCUUCCGCAAUGGGCGAAAGCCUGACGGAGCAACGCCGCGUGAGUGAUGAAGGUCUUCGGAUCGUAAAACUCUGUUAUUAGGGAAGAACAAAUGUGUAAGUAACUAUGCACGUCUUGACGGUACCUAAUCAGAAAGCCACGGCUAACUACGUGCCAGCAGCCGCGGUAAUACGUAGGUGGCAAGCGUUAUCCGGAAUUAUUGGGCGUAAAGCGCGCGUAGGCGGUUUUUUAAGUCUGAUGUGAAAGCCCACGGCUCAACCGUGGAGGGUCAUUGGAAACUGGAAAACUUGAGUGCAGAAGAGGAAAGUGGAAUUCCAUGUGUAGCGGUGAAAUGCGCAGAGAUAUGGAGGAACACCAGUGGCGAACGCGACUUUCUGGUCUGUAACUGACGCUGAUGUGCGAAAGCGUGGGGAUCAAACAGG